Long non-coding RNA from Manis javanica (Malayan pangolin), 2960 nucleotides. RefSeq lists it as uncharacterized. The record is from RefSeq and is a predicted model, not a curated record. NCBI's taxonomy places the organism in Eukaryota, Metazoa, Chordata, Mammalia, Pholidota, Manidae.
GCCGGACCAGGGAGCGGCGCAGGUGCAGGCGGUAGUCGUCCAGCAGCAGGUCGUCGUGGCGCACGAGCGGGUACGGGAGCCCGCGGAGACACAGCCCAGAUCGCAGCAGACGCGAGCGAGUCUGGAAGUCGGUAACUCGGCCUCCAGCGCUUGCAGCACCUCCAGAUGGGUGAGAUCCUCCUCUGGCUUAGGGAGGCGGAGACGGAGCCUCAGCCCGCGAAGCCCGGGGUCAUAAGUCCCCGCCACCCUAGACCCCGCCUGCGGAACCUGCCCGAGUCCCAGCUGGCCCUUGAAGGGCAAAGAUCACACUUGAUCCCAGGAUCCUAUCGCUUUUGACAGUGCGCAGAGGACGGAAAUCUUACAGGUACUGCUUCCUGGGGAGAGAGCGAGCGCCCGAAGACCUCGGAGGUCAGGGGUUACUGUCAUCGCUCUCGGGGGAGCUGAGAUCAGAAGGCAUGGGGCCAGGAGCCACUCACGAGGAUUUGACAGGCCUGCCCCCGCUCCGACCCUUCAUCUCUGCGGCCUCUACGUCCAAAAGGAGGGCUCCUGAGGACGGAAAACCCAGCGUCAGCUGCCCUGAGCUCUCCCCAGAGAGCUUAAAUGGGCAUCAUCAAGUGUUGUCCAUGCUACCCCUGAGUGGCUCUUAUGCCAGCUAUUUUUAUGCCCGACUCCCACAAACUCCCUCGUGCCGCGGAGUCCAGCGGCGGAGACGCUAUCCACUCCCAUCUCCUCUCUUCUGACAGCUGUGAUCCUAUUAGGCUCUGCCUAGAGGGGGCGCAAGAGGGCGACGGCAAGGCCGGAGGAAGAUGGGAUUUGCCCCUUUUUACUUCCUCUUCAUCACGCCAGCCUGGCUCCUUCACCUCGGCAGUGGCAGUUGGCUGCAACAGCAGCGUUUGAAUUCAGUUUGUGGUUUUUCCAACACUCUUCAAACCGCCGUUCCUGAUUGGAAUUCACUUAAAACAGCUCUCAAAUCAAACCCCUCUGUCAACCGGUCCGUCUUACUGCCAACUGCUAGUUGUCCCACAUAAUCUAUUUUCCCCUUCUACAGCCCUGCAGUUUUACCUGGCACACAAUCACUCAGCUAGACGCACAGUUCCCAGCCUCCCCUGCAGCUACGUCUGGCCACGUGACCAACUUCUCACCAACAGCGUUGAGGGGUGCAAAUUUUGGAGUCCUUUGCUUAAAAACAGGUUGCUUGUUUCAGACUUGCUGCCCCUUCCCUUGGACUGAACUGUGCAUGUAGCAUGCCCCCAGAUUCAGCCACACUAGAAACAGUGGAGCAACAACAGAGGGAACCUGGGUCCCUGAGUCAUCUUGAGGGGUAGAAAUGUCCCACCCAUCCGGACCACCUACCUCCGGUUGCACAAGAGAGAAAUGCACUGACUUCUUAAUACCGUUGUGUUUGUUGGGGAGGGGGCGGGGAGUCUUUCUGUGACAGCAGCUGAAGGAAGCAGAAAGCGGCCCCUGACAGCCCGGAGCUGCUCUGGCGCUCCCAGCCAGGCCCUGGUGCGCGCUCCUCCCACACAUAAACAAUUUCACAGAACCCCAGCACCAGCCAAGACCACUCGGUGACCACGAUGAACCAAAGUAGAAAUAAGACCACACUGGAGUCAGGUCUCAACACAACAAAACAUGAAUCGUGUCCAAACCACAAGACAGACCAAAAAUCUCUCUCUUGGCUCAGAUGCGGCUGUUGUUUUCCCAACCACAAUGUCAGCUCCAUUCAUUCCUUCUGCAUCACAGACUUGCCUCCACUUACUGCCAGCAUCCCCUCCAGAGCAAAGCCUGCUUCCCUGAACCCUCCCAAAGUCAUGUAAUCCAGCCCGGCUCCCAUAAUAAGUCCUUAGCACUGUUGUACUGAGACAUUCCAUGUGUCAUGGUCGCCCUCAUUCACGGUCUAUAAAUUCAGUGGUAUGCUGGUAAAUGUAUAAUCUCUCCUCUCUCUCUCUCUCUCUCUCUCUCUCUCUCUCUCUCUCUCUCUCUCUCUCUCUCUCUCACACACACACACACACUGCAGCAUUUGCCAGUUUUCAUGGUGUCAAUUCUCCCACCAUGACCAAUUUCUAGCUCCCUCCAGUUUCAACAAUCAGUUUGCAAACUUCAACAAUCAGGUCUUAUGAGCUGGUACAUAAGUACGCAGCUACGUCACAGCUAUGCUCCUCGUGGUCUCUGACACAACUCAGCUUGUACCAUACUAAGUCCCCCUCUCUGGUUCUUGUCCUCCCACCUCCGCAGGGCAGUUGAGGUGAUCUUUUCAUCUCAACUUCUUGCCAUGAGUCCCACGCUUACAAACCACCAGCGGCUUCCUCUUGCCUUUAGGAUAAAGUCUUCCCUGUAAUGGGGACUCGCUUCUCAGUCCUGGAAGCAGGACUUUGUCUGAAACACGGCACUUCAGGGCCCGCCCCAGACCUCCUAGGUCAGAAGCAGCAUUUUAAUAAGAUCCCCUCUGAGAAACAACUGCCCUGCAUGUGGUCACCUCUGUUGACCUCUCUGAUCAUUUUCCUCCAGCUAAAUUGGCCUCCCCUCCACCCCUCCAGUACAGUAAUCUUGUCACAGAGUGAAAAGCUCAGCAUCUCUGCCUUCACACUGUCUCUCUCUUCUUUGCUGCCUUAAAUCUUUGGGUCAAACAGCUUCUGCUCUUUCCUGCAGUCCUGCACAUGGGCUUGUUGAUCAUCGAAGGGGAUUUCGCUCAUGACUUAAGAUGAUGCAACCAGCCCCUUCCCCAAAAGCUGCCUCCCCCUAGGAGAUAAAGAAGUAUGUACAAAAAUGAUGACUGGAUGGUCAAGGACUUUUGGGAACGUCACAGGCCACAAAAGGACUGGUGUCAGGUAACCAAGGACAAGGAUUUUCCCAACCCUCCUGAGUCCCUUGCUGACGUCCAGAUGUCCGAGGGAUCAUCAUGUCCUGACCACAGUCCCCUCCAGUUCCUCCUUCCCAAAUAAAAAAGAAGCUUGAAAUCA